AUAAUAAUUGUUCAUUUCAGACUACAAAAUCAUAAACUGAGACAGGUUGGCUCCUAGCAAGCACUCUGUUUUCUCCGAGAAGACGGAAGACCAACGUCCAUCUGCAGUUUGCUUCGACUGCCAAGCGCUGA
Non-coding RNA from Myodes glareolus (Bank vole), 131 nucleotides. The record is from RefSeq and is a predicted model, not a curated record. NCBI's taxonomy places the organism in Eukaryota, Metazoa, Chordata, Mammalia, Rodentia, Cricetidae.